UAUAUUUUCUGAUACGUGAAAAUAUCUGCCUCAAGUUGCUUCAGUAAGCGACUGCAUACACGUGAGCUUGCAACACAAAUACAAGAUGAGGUUAUCAAGUUCGGCCGUUCUUCUAGGGUCUCUUGCACUUGUUUGUAUGGUGGAGCUCCAAAGGGCCCUCAGCUUCGAGAAUUGGAUCGAGGGGCAGAUAUUGUUGUUGCCACCCCUGGUCGGCUCAAUGAUAUCCUUGAGAUGAAGAAAAUUGACUUUCGUCAAGUAUCUCUCCUUGUCCUUGAUGAGGCAGAUCGAAUGUUUGAUAUGGGUUUUGAACCUCAAAUCCGCAAGAUUGUGAAUGAGAUUCCCCCACGUCGGCAGACUCUCAUGUACACUGCAACCUGGCCCAAGGAGGUCAGGAAAAUUGCGGGAGAUCUACUUGUUAAUCCUGUUCAGGUGAAUAUUGGCAGUGUUGAUGAGCAAACAAGGCCAUCACACAGUAUGUUGAGGUAGUCCCGCAAAUGGAGAAGCAGAGACGCAUAGAACUUGUGAGAGACGCAGGUUUUUUGAAGCAGGAACAGUUUGGCAGGUUGAAGUACAUUAUUGAAGAAUGGCAAAGAGGAAGGCAGGAGAGCUGGUGCUUCUAUUUGAAUUUGCCUCGGAAAUGUAUGACCUUAGGAAAGUAAAAUUUGCCUCCCUUAAGAGCUUAAUAUGGUUUUUAUUAAUGGCUAUAAGAACCUAAUAUACCUGAAAAA
Macadamia integrifolia is the source of this 728-nucleotide long non-coding RNA. RefSeq lists it as uncharacterized. Lineage: Eukaryota; Viridiplantae; Streptophyta; Magnoliopsida; Proteales; Proteaceae. The record is from RefSeq and is a predicted model, not a curated record. The transcript is spliced from 3 exons.